GGACCGUUAGCUCAGAUGGUAGAGCAGUUGACUCUUAAUCAAUUGGUCGUAGGUUCGACCCCUACACGGUCCACCA
RNAcentral lists this transfer RNA (76 nucleotides) under Campylobacteraceae bacterium. RNAcentral describes it as "tRNA-Lys". It matches the Rfam family "tRNA". From Rfam's summary of the family: Transfer RNA (tRNA) molecules are approximately 80 nucleotides in length. Their secondary structure includes four short double-helical elements and three loops (D, anti-codon, and T loops). The record is from RNAcentral. Lineage: Bacteria; Pseudomonadati; Campylobacterota; Epsilonproteobacteria; Campylobacterales; Campylobacteraceae.